GACGAACGCUGGCGGCGUGCUUAACACAUGCAAGUCGAACGGAGUGGCGAACGGGUGAGUAACACGUGGGUGACCUGCCCUGCACUUCCGGAUAAGCCUGGGAAACUGGGUCUAAUACCGGAUAGUGUGUGAUGGGCCCGCGGCCUAUCAGCUUGUUGGUGGGGGAAUGGCCUACCAAGGCGGCGACUGGUAGCCGACCUUAGAGGGGGGACGGCCACAUGGGGACUGAGGCACGGCGCAGACUCGUACGGGGGGCAGCAGUGGGGAAUAUUGCGCAAUGGGGGGAAGCGUGAUGCAGAGACGCCGGGUGGGGGAUGAACGCCUUCGGGUUGGAAACUCCUUUCACCAUCGACGCGGUAGAUGGAGAAGAAGCACCGGCUAACUACGUGCCAGCAGCCGCGGUAAUAC
This 408-nucleotide ribosomal RNA is filed under the name uncultured bacterium. RNAcentral's name for it is "partial 16S ribosomal RNA". It matches the Rfam family "Bacterial small subunit ribosomal RNA", at positions 28 to 526 of the family's 1533-position model. The record is from RNAcentral.